Molecule: ribosomal RNA, 832 nt
Filed under: Pratylenchus neglectus
Lineage: Eukaryota; Metazoa; Nematoda; Chromadorea; Rhabditida; Pratylenchidae
Description: SSU rRNA
Rfam family: Eukaryotic small subunit ribosomal RNA
Source: RNAcentral
UUGCCAAGCAAUGNCUGUCNUUANUCAAGAACGAAAGUCAGAGGUUCGAAGGCGAUCAGAUACCGCCCUAGUUCUGACCGUAAAAGAGGCAAAAAGGGGGAACAACGAUGGAAACACAAAUUGCCAUGGUGGGGAGCUUCCCGGAAACGAAAGUCUUCCGGUUCCGGGGGAAGUAUGGUUGCAAAGCUGAAACUUAAAGGAAUUGACGGAAGGGCACCACCAGGAGUGGAGCCUGCGGCUUAAUUUGACUCAACACGGGGAAACUCACCCGGCCCGGACACCGUAAGGAUUGACAGAUUGACAGCUUUUUCAUGAUUCGGUGGAUGGUGGUGCAUGGCCGUUCUUAGUUCGUGGAGCGAUCUGUCUGGUUUAUUCCGAUAACGAGCGAGACUCUGGCCUACUAACUAGUCCGCGCAUUGCCUCUGUGCCGUUGGACUUCUUAGAGGGAUUCGCGGUGUUCAGCCGCAAGAAAUGGAGCAAUAACAGGUCUGUGAUGCCCUUAGAUGUCCGGGGCUGCACGCGCGCUACACUGGCAGAAUCAGCUGGCUUGUCCUGCCCCGAAAGGGGCGGGUAAACCCGUGAAAAUCUGCCGUGAUUGGGAUCGGAAAUUGCAAUUAUUUUCCGUGAACGAGGAAUUCCAAGUAAGUGCGUGUCAUCAACACGCGUUGAUUACGUCCCUGCCCUUUGUACACACCGCCCGUCGCUGCCCGGGACUGANCCAUUUCGAGAAACUUGGGGACAGCCGAUCCNGGUUGCCUUCGGGCAGCCGCUUUGGUCGAAACCAAUUUAAUCNGCAGNGGCUUGAACCGGGCAAAGUCGUAACAAGGGCAGC